Molecule: ribosomal RNA, 483 nt
Filed under: uncultured bacterium
Lineage: Bacteria
Description: bacterial SSU rRNA
Rfam family: Bacterial small subunit ribosomal RNA
Source: RNAcentral
GAUGAACGCUAGCGGCAGGCCUAACACAUGCAAGUCGAACGGUAACAUGAGUAGCAAUACUUGAUGACGAGUGGCGCACGGGUGCGUAACGCGUAUGCAACUUACCUCUAACUGGAGAAUAGCCUUCCGAAAGGAAGAAUAAUACUCCAUAAUAUUACGAUGUGGCAUCACAUUGUUCUUAAAGCUUCGGCGGUUAGAGAUGGGCAUGCGUCUGAUUAGCUUGUUGGUGAGGUAACGGCUCACCAAGGCAACGAUCAGUAGGGGGCCUGAGAGGGUUAUCCCCCACACUGGUACUGAGACACGGACCAGACUCCUACGGGAGGCAGCAGUGAGGAAUAUUGGUCAAUGGACGAAAGUCUGAACCAGCCAUGCCGCGUGCAGGAUGAAUGCCCUAUGGGUUGUAAACUGCUUUUAUAUAGGAAUAAACCCCUUUACGUGUAAAGGGCUGAAGGUACUAUAAGAAUAAGGACCGGCUAACUCCGU